CCUACGGGUGGCAGCAGUAGGGAAUAUUGCUCAAUGGGGGAAACCCUGAAGCAGCAACGCCGCGUGGAGGAUGAAGGUCUUCGGAUUGUAAACUCCUUUUGUUAGAGAAGAAAAUGACGGUAUCUAACGAAUACUCACCGGCUAACUCCGUGCCAGCAGCCGCGGUAAUACGGAGGGUGCAAGCGUUACUCGGAAUCACUGGGCGUAAAGAGCGCGGAGGCGGGAUAGCAAGUCAGAUGUGAAAUCCUAUGGCUUAACCAUAGAACUGCAUAUGAAACUGUUAUUCUAGAGUAUGGGAGAGGUAGGUGGAAUUCUUGGUGUAGGGGUAAAAUGCGUAGAGAUCAAGAGGAAUACUCAUGGCGAAGGCGACCUGCUAGAACAUAACUGACGCUGAUGCGCGAAAGCGUGGGGAGCAAACAGGAUUAGAUACCCGUGUAGUC
RNAcentral lists this ribosomal RNA (440 nucleotides) under uncultured bacterium. Its description in RNAcentral is "partial 16S ribosomal RNA". It matches the Rfam family "Bacterial small subunit ribosomal RNA", at positions 338 to 795 of the family's 1533-position model. The record is from RNAcentral.